RNAcentral lists this transfer-messenger RNA (349 nucleotides) under Lachnospiraceae bacterium. It matches the Rfam family "transfer-messenger RNA". From Rfam's summary of the family: Bacterial tmRNA, also known as 10Sa RNA or SsrA, is named for its dual tRNA and mRNA-like properties. Its role is to liberate the mRNA from a stalled ribosome. The record is from RNAcentral. Lineage: Bacteria; Bacillati; Bacillota; Clostridia; Lachnospirales; Lachnospiraceae.
GGGCCAGUCAAGGUUUCGACAGGGGUCUUGCAGCUGGAGAAGCUAUCCGCAGGCGAUGCGUCAAAUCGCAAACCUAAAUAUAAACGCUGAAGAUAAUUUAGCAUUCGCUGCCUAAGGGCAGCUGUCCGCCUUAGUGCACCUACACAUUAAGAUCCGGGCAUCGACUUUGUAGGAAACGACGCGGGUGACGCCUCUAACCCGCGGGCGUAUCAGAGGCUACUGAGCGCGGUGGGGUGUCUGUCUCCUGCCGGGUGAGGGAAUGUGGAGUGAUCCGAAAUGACGGACUAUGAUAGUAGAAGGACAGGGAAUGGGCUUUUGGACACGGGUUCGACUCCCGUCUGGUCCACUG